This is a long non-coding RNA of Xenia sp. Carnegie-2017, 991 nucleotides long. RefSeq lists it as uncharacterized. The record is from RefSeq and is a predicted model, not a curated record. Lineage: Eukaryota; Metazoa; Cnidaria; Anthozoa; Malacalcyonacea; Xeniidae. The transcript is spliced from 3 exons.
GGGAGCAUCUGGAGGACAAGCACUUGUGCACGCUUUAUAUAUGUUAAUAUGGCUAGUAACAUAAAGUCAGCGCUUUCUAGGUCAAAAAAAGGUUUUUUGCCUGGAUAUAUAGAAAAUAUUCAGUGUAAGGAUAGUAAAGCGCGUUACAAAAUUAAAUUAGGACAUUGCAAUGGAGAUGAUCCGUACGAAAUACCAAAAAAUCAAUGGCUCGACGAUAUCGAUCUGUGGCCUGCUGUCAGCUACAUUCAUGUUGGCAUGUAUUUAUUAUUUUCGGUCAGUGCGUACACGAAAUAGCAGUUAAAAACUGUAAGAGUCUUGAUAGUUAUCAAAAUUUUGUGAAUGGAUGGGUGCGUGAAGUGUUGGUGAAAAAAUAUGACGAUCAUUGCUUGCUUAUAGCUCAAAGCAGCUUGUCGCACCAACAGAGAUUCACCUUCCAAGAGUCUGAUCACAAGCAUUUGCUAUCCAGAGCUGAAGAAAUUUUCAACUGCAGCAACAAGAUGGGGUUGUCAACAUGAAGAGGUGGCAAGAGACAAAUAUCGGAAAUGGGUAAACACAAACCAUGAAAAUGUUUCAGUAACAAACAGUGGAUUCUGGAUUCAUUUGACCCAUGAAUCUCUUGGUGCUUCUCAAGAUGGGCUUGUCUCUUGCCAAUGUUGUGGCAAUGGGAUUUGGGAAAUAAAGUGUCCAUUUUGCCAUAAAGAUGAGACAGUUGAAACUUCAACAGGUUAUGGCUCAGUUGUCAUGCACAGGUUUGAGCUACUGUGAUUUUGUUGUGUGGACAGAGAAAGACUUGUUUGUUGAACGAAUCUUGCAAAAUAACGAAUUUCUAGAAAGGAAGAUAGAGGCAGCAAAGAAAUUUGUGUUGAGGAGACUCCUUCCAGAGUUAACUGGAAAAUGGUACUGAAGACCCAAAAAAUUGAAUAAAUGAAAUAUAAUGAAUCAAAUGUCUUAUAAAUAUUAUUAGUACAAUUUUAAGUGUAUGCAUGCAAAA